UGUACCCUACGGGGCGCAGCAGGGAAUCUUCCACAAUGGACGAAAGUCUGAUGGAGCAACGCCGCGUGAGUGAAGAAGGGUUUCGGCUCGUAAAGCUCUGUUGGUAGUGAAGAAAGAUAGAGGUAGUAACUGGCCUUUAUUUGACGGUAAUUACUUAGAAAGUCACGGUUAACUACGUUCCAGCAGCCGCGGUAAUACGGAGGUGGCAAGCGUUGUCCGGAUUUAUUGGG
This 230-nucleotide ribosomal RNA is filed under the name uncultured bacterium. RNAcentral describes it as "partial 16S ribosomal RNA". It matches the Rfam family "Bacterial small subunit ribosomal RNA", at positions 333 to 558 of the family's 1533-position model. The record is from RNAcentral.